Molecule: ribosomal RNA, 231 nt
Filed under: uncultured Candidatus Saccharibacteria bacterium
Lineage: Bacteria; Candidatus Saccharimonadota
Description: partial 16S ribosomal RNA
Rfam family: Bacterial small subunit ribosomal RNA
Source: RNAcentral
UAAGCGUGUGAUGAAUUUGUGGCUCAACCAUAAACUGUUACACGAGCUGGCAUACUAGAGUAUAUGAGGGGAAGCUAGAAUUCCUGGUGUAGGAGUGGAAUCCGUAGAUAUCAGGAGGAAUACCAAUGGCGUAGGCAGGCUUCUGGCAUAUUACUGACGCUAAGGCACGAAAGCGUGGGGAGCGAACGGGAUUAGAUACCCGGUAGUCCACGCCGUAAACUAUGGAUGCUA